Mytilus trossulus (common blue mussel) is the source of this 3390-nucleotide long non-coding RNA. RefSeq lists it as uncharacterized. NCBI's taxonomy places the organism in Eukaryota, Metazoa, Mollusca, Bivalvia, Mytilida, Mytilidae. The record is from RefSeq and is a predicted model, not a curated record. The transcript has 3 exons.
UUAAACCGGUUGUUGUUGUAUUUUAUCAGUCAGGGGAAACGACUCUAUUACUCUAAUGGAAGCGCCAUCUUGAUGCUAAGAAAUGUCUUUUUUCUGUUUACGAAAAGGUUGAUUUAGCGGAUCGUACAUAUCAGAAUGACAAAUUUUGAGUGUUGCAGAUGAUGUUCAGUUUGCAGAGGUAUUUGAAAUGGAAAGAAAGAGAAAUAUGAACAUACAUUGACUGCUUUGAAUAUAAGGUGUAAAAAAGAGUUACAUGUGCCAAAAAAUAUGUUGAAAAUUUGAAAACUGUUAACAAGAGCAUCAACAAAUAGAAAAAAGAACAAUACCAGGUCUGGAUAUUUGUGGCAGCAUGCAAUUAUUACCAGGAAAAAAAUGUAGCUGCACAGAAGACACCCCAGAUCAUAAAAUAAUAUUGCAUGUAAAAAAGGAAAGCAUUCCUUUUCAUAGAAUCAAAGAACUCUUUUAACCAAGUCAAGAUGUUAUUAGACAUGUUAUCAUAUAUAUAUAGAUAUAGGAAGAUGUGGUGUGAGUGCCAAUGAGACAACUCUCCAUCCAAAUAACAAUUUAAAAAUUAAACCAUUAUAGGUUAAAGUACGGCCUUCAACACGGAGCCUUGGCUCACACCGAACAACAAGCUAUAAAGGGCCCCAAAAUUACUAGUGUAAAACCAUUCAAACGGGAAAACCAACGGUCUAAUCUAUAUAAACAAAACGAGAAACGAGAAACACGUAUAUAUUACAUAAACAAACGACAACUACUGUACAUCAGAUUCCUGACUUAGGACAGGUGCAAACAUUUGCAGCGGGAUUAAACGUUUUAAUGGGCCCAAACCUUCUCCCUUUUUCUGAAACAAUAGCAUAACAUCACAACAUAUAAAAACAUACGAUAAAAUAUCAAUUAGCAGACUUAACUCAAUCAAAAAACGUAUGAUUACACAAAGAACGUAUAGUACAUUUGUAUUUACAAAUAUAAGAAGUAUGUGUGACUAUGUCAUGUUACAUGUAUGCUGAGAAUAUUUUAAUGUCACAAGGAUAUGAAAUGGAUAAAUGAAAUAUUGUCAACUAUUUAAAUAAAACAGACAGGCUCACAUAAAAAUCAACUGCCUAUGUGAAAGUUUAAGUUGAAUUUAUUGUCUAGAAUUAUCAUACCAUAUAUCCAAAGCACAGAAUUGCCUUUCUCAGAAAUUUUAUAUGUUAAAUAGAAUGAUAUUUGUAGCUUUUAUUUUCUUGGAACUGUUUCAAUAUAAAAUUAAAAACCAAUUGUUCAGAGAACAAUUGAAAGUCUUUCCACAGCAAAGAAAUUUGGAUAAGAAGGUAGUUUCUUCAUACUGAUGCGAUAAAUGAUGGUUUAAUUAUCUUUUUGAGUGAUAUAAGGGAGAUAAUAUGCUACUUCCGGUAAAAUGAAUGUCACAUCCUGUCUCAUAUGAUAGCUUCUUUCACACUGAUUCCAAAAAUAUAUAGUUUCUAUAUACUUUUGUAUGUAGAAUGGGAGAUAAUUGGCCACUUCCGGUUUGUUGGAAGUCAUUUUUAGUCUUCAGUUAUCUGUUUUAUGUAUCUAUAUGACAAAAUAUAUGGAUUCUGGGUACUUUUUGGUGAAAAAAUUGCAAAAAAAAGCUACUUCCGGUUUUCUAAAGGUCACUUCCGGUAGCCAUUUUUCAAGGUCAUUUGUCACUGAACCUUUUGUAUGAGGUCAAAUGUCUUUAUAAUGAACUUAAUUGAAGUUAUAAUCAAAUAACCUCAUAUCAAGACAUUUCAGGGGCAACAACUCCUAUAAGAUGCCAUUUAAUUGUAUAAGACUAAAUGUAGCAUAUCUUCAUUACUUUAAAGCUGACAUUCUGAACUUGUUCUUUAAUAUGUAUCUUUCAAAGUGUCAGAAAAAAUGCAAAAACAAGCAAAAGUCACAAUUGAGAACUUGACCUUGACCUUUGACCUUGACCUCAUUUUCUAAGUUAGGACUUAGGGGACUCAAAUAAAAACAUUCCAGGGUUAUACGGUUAACUGUUUAUGAGUUAAAUAAACACCGACAAAUUUAUUUUGUAAAGGUAGAUAACUCCUAUAAAAUUUCUUCGAAUCGCUUCGAUCCAAAUACGCCAAAAAUUACUGAGGAUGUAACGAAUAAUUUGUAAAAAGAAUUUUGACGCUAUCUUGUUUUGUUACGAAGGAGAUGCACACAGAGGAUAAACAGUGAAAAGGGAGAUAACUCUUACAUAGAAAAUGGUUCGCCUUAGCAGGGUGAAAUUUAAAAGCGCAUAAACUAUAUGAUACCAUAUGAGAAAUAUCUAAGCGACAUAUUGCGAAACAAACAUUUUGCGCAAGAACAAAAUUGGCGGAAGAAAAAAAUAAAAAAAAUAAUAAUAAUCAGAACAAAAACAAUAAGUCUUUCCACAGAAAAGUGGAAAGACUUAAUAAGGGAGAUGUGGUAUGAUUGUCAAUGAGACAAAUUUCCACCAGAGACCAAAGUAAAUGUUAGAAAAUACAGGUCACAGUUAUGUUUGACAUUGUGUAGCAAUAUAUAUGAAAAACACAAAGAUUAUAGUGUAAAAUAAUUCAAACAAGAUAAUAAACUAUUAAUGAUUACUCUUAAACCUGGCAGCAAACUCACUGAAACUAAACAUAAAAGCCAAUUACAGUCAACUCAUAUUCACAAAAGGAACUAUUUUUGGUCAACAUUGAAUUCAAAAAACCAUCAAAGGCAAUGAAAGUCAACAUCUAUGUAGGACUCAAAUCUAUGACGGGUUCCAAAUCUGUGGCAGAUUCCUAAUCUAUGGCAAAUGUGACGUUACAAACGCCAAACAACUCAAAUCUAUGGCAGAUUUUUGUUUACUCCAAAUCUAUGGCAGAUCUUGUGGAAAGGGUACCGUAUAACGUCACAAUUGAAUAUACUGCCAUAUUACAUUUUCGCCACAGAUAACGAUGGCGAAACCCAUAGAUUUAAACACCAUUCAAGAUAAAGAUAUUUCCCUGGCAACAAUUUGCGGGUGGUUUAAAGGAAGAUGUGACAUAUUAUCCCGAAGAUGGACCAAAUGCGCUGUACUGGCCGAGUCCGGCGAUGAAUUAUGGCACUGCUAUUUUAAGUAACGCAUAUUUUAGAAAAAAGGAUUUUUAGAGCCCUUUAGAGUUUGCUGUUCAGUGUGAGCAAAGGCUCCGUGUUGAAGGCCGUACCUUGACCUAUACUGGUUUACUUAUAAAUUGUAACUUUGAUGGACAGUUGUCUCAUUGGCACUCAUACCACAUCUUCCUAUAUCUAGUUUGUAGUAGUUUACUGUAUACGGCUGGCAAAGUUACUAUGAUAUAUAAAAUUACCAGAUACAAAUUUGAUUUAAAUCGUCAGCAAAUAAAAAAAAGAUGUAUUAACGAUAUCGCUGAAAUAAAUAUUAUUUGAAAAUUCAAA